GAAAAACCCGUUCGCCGAAAGACCAAGGGUUCCAGUCCAACGUUAAUCGGGGCUGGGUGAGUCGACCCCUAAGGCGAGGCCGAAAGGCGUAGUCGAUGGGAAAAUGGUUAAUAUUCCAUUACUUCUGUGUAAUGCGAUGAGAGGACGGAGAAGGCUAAAUCAGCCUGGCGUUGGUUGUCCAGGUGAAAGGAUGUAGGCAUGUAUCUUAGGCAAAUCCGGGGUACUCUAUGCUGAGAUCUGAUAGCAAGCUGUACUUGUACAGCGAAGUGGUUGAUGCCAUGCUUCCAGGAAAAGUCUCUAAGCUUCAGUUACACAGGAAUCGUACCCGAAACCGACACAGGUGGUCAGGUCGAGUAGACCAAGGCGCUUGAGAGAACUCUGCUGAAGGAACUAGGCAAAAUGGUACCGUAACUUCGGGAGAAGGUACGCUGUUGUUGGUGAUGGAACUCGCUUCCUGAGCUGACGACAGCCGCAGAAACCAGGCCGCUGCAACUGUUUAUUAAAAACAUAGCACUCUGCAAACACGAAAGUGGACGUAUAGGGUGUGAUGCCUGCCCGGUGCUGGAAGGUUAAUUGAUGGGGUUAGCGUAAGCGAAGCUCUUGAUCGAAGCCCCAGUAAACGGCGGCCGUAACUAUAACGGUCCUAAGGUAGCGAAAUUCCUUGUCGGGUAAGUUCCGACCUGCACGAAUGGCAUAAUGAUGGCGGCGCUGUCUCCAGCAGAGGCUCAGUGAAAUCGAAAUCGCUGUGAAGAUGCAGUGUACCCGCGGCUAGACGGAAAGACCCCGUGAACCUUUACUGCAGCUUGACACUGAACUUUGACCUUACUUGUGUAGGAUAGGUGGGAGGCUUUGAAGCUGGAACGCUAGUUCCAGUGGAGCCGUCCUUGAAAUACCACCCUGGUAAUGUUGAGGUUCUAACUCUGUCCCGUGAUCCGGGACGAGGACCGUGUCUGGUGGGUAGUUUGACUGGGGCGGUCUCCUCCUAAAGAGUAACGGAGGAGUACGAAGGUGCGCUCAGCGUGGUCGGAAAUCACGCGUAGAGUAUAAAGGCAAAAGCGCGCUUAACUGCGAGACCCACAAGUCGAGCAGGUACGAAAGUAGGUCUUAGUGAUCCGGUGGUUCUGUAUGGAAGGGCCAUCGCUCAACGGAUAAAAGGUACUCUGGGGAUAACAGGCUGAUACCGCCCAAGAGUUCAUAUCGACGGCGGUGUUUGGCACCUCGAUGUCGGCUCAUCUCAUCCUGGGGCUGAAGCAGGUCCCAAGGGUAUGGCUGUUCGCCAUUUAAAGAGGUACGCGAGCUGGGUUUAGAACGUCGUGAGACAGUUCGGUCCCUAUCUACCGUGGGCGCUGGAAAUUUGAGAGGAUCUGCUCCUAGUACGAGAGGACCAGAGUGGACGAACCUCUGGUGUACCGGUUGUGACGCCAGUCGCAUCGCCGGGUAGCUAUGUUCGGAAGGGAUAACCGCUGAAAGCAUCUAAGCGGGAAGCCUACCUCAAGAUAAGAUUUCCCUAGGACUUUAUGUCCUCUAAAGAGCCGUUCGAGACUAGGACGUUGAUAGGUUGGAUGUGGAAGCAUAGUGAUAUGUGAAGCUGACCAAUACUAAUUGCUCGUGAGGCUUGACUA
This 1622-nucleotide ribosomal RNA is filed under the name Acinetobacter baumannii 145660. RNAcentral describes it as "bacterial LSU rRNA". It matches the Rfam family "Bacterial large subunit ribosomal RNA", at positions 1323 to 2925 of the family's 2925-position model. The record is from RNAcentral. Lineage: Bacteria; Pseudomonadati; Pseudomonadota; Gammaproteobacteria; Moraxellales; Moraxellaceae.